This 619-nucleotide ribosomal RNA is filed under the name Drosophila mauritiana. RNAcentral's name for it is "eukaryotic LSU rRNA". It matches the Rfam family "Eukaryotic large subunit ribosomal RNA", at positions 162 to 651 of the family's 3401-position model. The record is from RNAcentral. Lineage: Eukaryota; Metazoa; Arthropoda; Insecta; Diptera; Drosophilidae.
UCAUAUUCUAGUAUGAGAAAUUAAUGAUUUAAGUCCUUCUUAAAUGAGGCCAUUUACCCAUAGAGGGUGCCAGGCCCGUAUAACGUUAAUGAUUACUAGAUGAUGUUUCCAAAGAGUCGUGUUGCUUGAUAGUGCAGCACUAAGUGGGUGGUAAACUCCAUCUAAAACUAAAUAUAACCAUGAGACCGAUAGUAAACAAGUACCGUGAGGGAAAGUUGAAAAGAACUCUGAAUAGAGAGUUAAACAGUACGUGAAACUGCUUAGAGGUUAAGCCCGAUGAACCUGAAUAUCCGUUAUGGAAAAUUCAUCAUUAAAAUUGUAAUAUUUAAAUAAUAUUAUUAAGAAUAAUGUGCAUUUUUUCCAUAUAAGGACAUUGUAAUCUAUUAGCAUAUCCCAAAUUUAUCAUAAAAUAUAACUUAUAGUUUAUUCCAAUUAAAUUGCUUGCAUUUUAACACAGAAUAAAUGUUAUUAAUUUGAUAAAGUGCUGAUAGAUUUAUAUUAUUACAGAGCGUUAAUUUUUCGGAAUUAUAUAAUGGCAUAAUUAUCAUUGAUUUUUGUGUUUAUUAUAUGCUCUUGUAUGAUUAACAAUGCGAAAGAUUCAGGAUACCUUCGGGACCCG